This 340-nucleotide ribosomal RNA is filed under the name uncultured Lactobacillus sp. RNAcentral describes it as "bacterial SSU rRNA". It matches the Rfam family "Bacterial small subunit ribosomal RNA", at positions 198 to 524 of the family's 1533-position model. Lineage: Bacteria; Bacillati; Bacillota; Bacilli; Lactobacillales; Lactobacillaceae. The record is from RNAcentral.
GUUUAAAAGUAUGUUCUGCUAUCACUCUUGGGAUGGGACCUGCGGUGCAUUUAGCUAGUUGGUAGGUAACGGCCUACCAAGGCGAUGAUGCAUAGCCGAGUUGAGAGACUGAUCGGCCACAUUGGGACUGAGACACGGCCCAAACUCCUACGAGAGGCAGCAGUAGGGAAUCUUCCACAAUGGACGCAAGUCUGAUGGAGCAACGCCGCGUGAGUGAAGAAGGGUUUCGGCUCGUAAAGCUCUGUUGUUGGUGAAGAAGGACAGGGGUAGCAACUGACCUUUGUUUGACGGUAAUCAAUUAGAAAGUCACGGCUAACUACGUGCCAGCAGCCGCGGUAAU